This 461-nucleotide ribosomal RNA is filed under the name uncultured bacterium. RNAcentral describes it as "partial 16S ribosomal RNA". It matches the Rfam family "Bacterial small subunit ribosomal RNA", at positions 31 to 507 of the family's 1533-position model. The record is from RNAcentral.
GAACGCUGGCGGCGUGCUUAACACAUGCAAGUCGAACGGUAAGGCCCCAGCUUGCUGGGGUACACGAGUGGCGAACGGGUGAGUAACACGUGGGUGACCUGCCCCGCACUUCGGGAUAAGCCUGGGAAACUGGGUCUAAUACCGGAUAGGACCGCACCGUGAGGGUGUGGUGGAAAGUUUUUCGGUGUGGGAUGGGCCCGCGGCCUAUCAGCUUGUUGGUGGGGUAAUGGCCUACCAAGGCGGCGACGGGUAGCCGGCCUGAGAGGGUGGACGGCCACAUUGGGACUGAGACACGGCCCAGACUCCUACGGGAGGCAGCAGUGGGGAAUAUUGCACAAUGGGCGGAAGCCUGAUGCAGCGACGCCGCGUGGGGGAUGACGGCCUUCGGGUUGUAAACUCCUUUCACCAUCGACGAAGGUUUUCUGACGGUAGAUGGAGAAGAAGCACCGGCUAACUACGUG